AUACUUACCUGGCAAGGGAGACACCGUGAUCAAGAAGGCGGUUCACCCAGGGCGAGGCUCAGCCACUGCACUCCGGCUGUGCUGAUCCCUGUGAAUUUCCAAAAUGUGGAAAUCUUGAUUGCAUAAUUUCUGGUAGUGGGGGACUGCGUUCGCGCUCUCCCCUG
Molecule: small nuclear RNA, 164 nt
Filed under: Salmo salar (Atlantic salmon)
Lineage: Eukaryota; Metazoa; Chordata; Actinopteri; Salmoniformes; Salmonidae
Description: U1 spliceosomal RNA (ENSSSAG00000085824.1)
Rfam family: U1 spliceosomal RNA
About the family: U1 is a small nuclear RNA (snRNA) component of the spliceosome (involved in pre-mRNA splicing).
Source: Rfam by way of RNAcentral